This is a long non-coding RNA of Octopus bimaculoides (California two-spot octopus), 1067 nucleotides long. RefSeq lists it as uncharacterized. The record is from RefSeq and is a predicted model, not a curated record. Lineage: Eukaryota; Metazoa; Mollusca; Cephalopoda; Octopoda; Octopodidae.
AGAGACGUCACCAAUAUGUGUGGAUUUGGGACUAAAUACAUUAUAUGCGUGUGAAUGUGUGUAUGUAUGUAUGUGUAUGUCAGUGUGUGAGAACACACUGAUACAUAUUCAUCAUUCAUACAUACAUACAUACAUACAUACAUACAUACAUACAUACAUACAUACAUACAUACAUAUAUAUAUAUGUAUAGUCUGCUAUUGGCUGAGGUUGCUUUCGUCUGAAGCUUUAUGCAGUUUCGACUUAAGCAUGGGUUUGGAUUUCUACGAUAAACUCCACAUUCAUAUUGCUUGGAAGUUAAGGCAACAGAAUCACUUUUUUAACCCAAGAUGUGAUGAAGCGAUUCUUGCAGCAGAAAAAGUUAAAAAAUAUGCAAGGCUUCACCCAGGCGAAGAAAUACCAUCGUAUAUUCGCUGGAGAAGAAGAAAUAUAUAUAAACUUGUACCCCAUCCACCGAUACUCGCACACAAAUUAUAUAAGAGACCAUUUCAUAAAAGACAACCGUUAAAAGUAGAUCCUAAGUAUCCUCUCCUUCAGAGACGUAGACGUCUCUCAAUAAAAAGCGAACAGCUUAGAACAACGUUGCUGCAACAUUGCGAUGUCCGACCCUACUAUUUAAAUGAUUUUGAAAAGAAUGAACAAUUUUACCAGAAUGUGUUCCCUCUACUUGGUGAAUGGAAUGAGAACAACGAGUACUCUUUCACAAGAUAUACUGAGGACAGUAUUGUCAAGAACACGAGCGAGGACCAGAAAAUAUUCUGGAGAAAAGUAAAAGUAUCGCAACAAGAGUACAGCAAUAAGCUAGAUAAAAUCUUGAAUCAGUUGAGAAACGAAAAGCUACUUGUUUCAAAGACUAAUCUCUCUUCAGAUGUGUUUUAUCCCUGGAAAUGGAAAAUUAAGUAAAGAUAGCAACAACAUUAUUACCAACAACAAAUAUAGCAUGAAGAAAAACAAGAAGAUGUAAAGGACAUACAAAUGUAUGUGGGGUGGGAAAGACGAGUUACACAAAGACGAAGGGACGCUAAAGUAUGAGAAAACAUUGAUUAAAACUAGAUAUAUACACAUAAAA